UUAGGCGAACGGGUGAGUAACGCGUGAGUAACCUGCCCUGGAGUGGGGGGACGAACAGUUGGAAACGACUGCUAAUACCGCAUAAGCCCACGGCCCGGCAUCGGGCUGCGGGAAAAGGAUUUAUUCGCUUCAGGAUGGACUCGCGUCCAAUUAGCUAGUUGGUGAGGUAACGGCCCACCAAGGCGACGAUUGGUAGCCGGACUGAGAGGUUGAACGGCCACAUUGGGACUGAGACACGGCCCAG
RNAcentral lists this ribosomal RNA (244 nucleotides) under uncultured bacterium. RNAcentral's name for it is "partial 16S ribosomal RNA". It matches the Rfam family "Bacterial small subunit ribosomal RNA", at positions 94 to 334 of the family's 1533-position model. The record is from RNAcentral.